GCAUAUCAAUAAGCGGAGGAAAAGAAACUAACAAGGAUUCCCUUAGUAACGGCGAGUGAAGAGGGAAGAGCUCAAAUUUUAAAUCUAUCAUGUUGUACAUGAUCGAGUUGUAAUUUGAAGAAGCGUUUUCUCGUACUUUAUGAUCAGUAUAAGUUCUCUUGGAACAGGACAUCAUAGAGGGUGAUAAUCCCGUCUGUUACUGAUUGUGGGGUUCGUUUAUGAUACGCUUUCAAAGAGUCGAGUUGUUUGGGAUUGCAGCUCCAAAUGGGUGGUAAACAUCACCUAAGGCUAAAUAUUUGCGAGAGACCGAUAGCGAACAAGUACCGUGAGGGAAAGAUGAAAAGAACUUUGAAAAGAGAGUUAAAAAGUAUGUGAAAUUGUUGAAAGGGAAACGAUUGAAGUCAGUCGUGCAGUCAUCAAUUCAGCGGUUAACAUUUUAUGUUUCCGUGUAAUUUGGUGUCUGUUGGUUAGCAUCAAUUUUGAUUGUUAUAAAAAGGUUAAGGGGAUGUGGCUCCUUCGGGAGUGUUAUAACCCUUAGCGUAAUGUGACGAUUAGGAUUGAGGUUUGCAACGAAUACCUUUUAGGGCAGUUUCACCUGGCCUCUCGUGGAAUUAUAGAUAGUUAAGAGCAUGCUCUUACUGUCUAUGAUUCUACGAAAAGGUUGGAGUGUAAAACUAAUUCGUUAAGGAUGUUGACGUA
This 699-nucleotide ribosomal RNA is filed under the name uncultured Glomerales. Its description in RNAcentral is "LSU rRNA". It matches the Rfam family "Eukaryotic large subunit ribosomal RNA", at positions 38 to 633 of the family's 3401-position model. Lineage: Eukaryota; Fungi; Glomeromycota; Glomeromycetes; Glomerales; Glomeraceae. The record is from RNAcentral.